UGGGGAAUUUUGGACAAUGGGCGAAAGCCUGACCCAGCAAUGCCGCGUGUGUGAAGAAGGCCUUCGGGUUGUAAAGCACUUUUGUCCGGAAAGAAAUCCUUGGCUCUAAUACAGUCGGGGGAUGACGGUACCGGAAGAAUAAGCACCGGCUAACUACGUGCCAGCAGCCGCGGUAAUACGUAGGGUGCAAGCGUUAAUCGGAAUUACUGGGCGUAAAGCGUGCGCAGGCGGUUUGCUAAGACCGAUGUGAAAUCCCCGGGCUCAACCUGGGAACUGCAUUGGUGACUGGCAGGCUAGAGUAUGGCAGAGGGGGGUAGAAUUCCACGUGUAGCAGUGAAAUGCGUAGAGAUGUGGAGGAAUACCGAUGGCGAAGGCAGCCCCCUGGGCCAAUACUGACGCUCAUGCACGAAAGCGUGGGGAGCAAACAGGAUUAGAUACCCUGGUAGUCCACGCCCUAAACGAUGUCAACUAGUUGUUGGGGAUUCAUUUCCUUAGUAACGUAGCUAACGCGUGAAGUUGACCGCCUGGGGAGUACGGUCGCAAGAUUAAAACUUAAAGGAAUUGACGGGGUCAUAGCUGUUUCCU
RNAcentral lists this ribosomal RNA (585 nucleotides) under uncultured bacterium. RNAcentral describes it as "partial 16S ribosomal RNA". It matches the Rfam family "Bacterial small subunit ribosomal RNA", at positions 355 to 1375 of the family's 1533-position model. The record is from RNAcentral.